Molecule: ribosomal RNA, 440 nt
Filed under: uncultured bacterium
Lineage: Bacteria
Description: partial 16S ribosomal RNA
Rfam family: Bacterial small subunit ribosomal RNA
Source: RNAcentral
CCUACGGGAGGCAGCAGUAGGGAAUAUUGCACAAUGGGGGAAACCCUGAAGCAGCAACGCCGCGUGGAGGAUGAAGGUUUUCGGAUUGUAAACUGCUGUUGUUAGAGAAGAUAAUGACGGUAUCUAACGAAUAAGCACCGGCUAACUCCGUGCCAGCAGCCGAGGUAAUACGAAGGGUGCAAGCGUUAAUCGGAAUAAAUGGGCGUAAAGAGCUCGGAGGCGGGUUAGCAAGUCAGUUGUGAAAUCCUAGGGCUUAACCAUAGAACUGCAUUUGAAACUGUCAUUCUAGAGUAUGGGAGAGGUAGGUGGAAGUCUUUGUGUAGGGGUAAAAUCCGUAGAGAUCGAGAGGAAUACUCAGUGCGAAGGCGACCUGCUAGAACAUAACUGACGCUGAUGCGCGAAAGCGUGGGGAGCAAACAGGAUUAGAUACCCUUGUAGUC